RNAcentral lists this ribosomal RNA (462 nucleotides) under uncultured bacterium. Its description in RNAcentral is "partial 16S ribosomal RNA". It matches the Rfam family "Bacterial small subunit ribosomal RNA", at positions 338 to 795 of the family's 1533-position model. The record is from RNAcentral.
CCUACGGGAGGCAGCAGUGAGGAAUAUUGGUCAAUGGGCUUACGCCUGAACCAGCCAAGUCGCGUGAGGGAAGACUGCCCUAUGGGUUGUAAACCUCUUUUGUCAGGGAGCAAUUGGCGCUACGUGUAGCGUUAUCGAGAGUACCUGAAGAAAAAGCAUCGGCUAACUCCGUGCCAGCAGCCGCGGUAAUACGGAGGAUGCGAGCGUUGUUCGGAAUGACUGGGCGUAAAGGGUGUGUAGGCGGUGUAGCAAGUUAGAAGUGAAAUACCUAGAGCUUAACUCAGGUGCUGCUUCUAAAACUGCUAUACUUGAGUGCAGUAGAGGAAAGUGGAAUUCCUAGUGUAGCGGUGGAAUGCGUAGAUAUUAGGAGGAACAUCAGUGGCGAAGGCGACUUUCUGGACUGUAACUGACGCUGAGGCACGAAAGUGUGGGGAGCAAACAGGAUUAGAUACCCUUGUAGUC